CUGCUGCCUCCCGUAGGAGUUUGGGCCGUGUCUCAGUCCCAAUGUGGCCGGUCACCCUCUCAGGUCGGCUACUGAUCGUUGCCUUGGUGAGCCGUUACCUCUCCAACUAGCUAAUCAGACGCGGGUCCAUCUCAUACCACCUCUAGUUUUUUCACACCAAACCAUGUCGGUUUUGUGCGCUUAUGCGGUAUUAGCAGUCUAUUUCUAACUGUUACUCCCCUGUAUGAGGCACGGUUACCCACGCGUUACUCCACCCGUCCG
RNAcentral lists this ribosomal RNA (261 nucleotides) under uncultured bacterium. RNAcentral describes it as "partial 16S ribosomal RNA". The record is from RNAcentral.